AAUCUGGCGCCUUCGGUGUCCGAGUUGUAAUUUGAAGAAGGUAACUUUGGAGUUGGCUCUUGUCUAUGUUCCUUGGAACCGGACGUCACAGAGGGUGAGAAUCCCGUGCGAUGAGAUGCCCAAUUCUAUGUAAAGUGCUUUCGAAGAGUCGAGUUGUUUGGGAAUGCAGCUCUAAGUGGGUGGUAAAUUCCAUCUAAAGCUAAAUAUUGGCGAGAGACCGAUAGCGAACAAGUACAGUGAUGGAAAGAUGAAAAGAACUUUGAAAAGAGAGUGAAAAAGUACGUGAAAUUGUUGAAAGGGAAGGGCUUGAGAUCAGACUUGGUAUUUUGCGAUCCUUUCCUUCUUGGUUGGGUUCUCCGCAGCUUACUGGGCCAGCAUCGGUUUGGAUGGUAGGAUAAUGAUUAAGGAAUGUGGCUCUACUUCGGUGGAGUGUUAUAGCCUUGGUUGAUACUGCCUGUCUAGACCGAGGACUGCGUCUUUGACUAGGAUGCUGGCAUAAUGAUCUUAAGCCACC
Molecule: ribosomal RNA, 514 nt
Filed under: Debaryomyces sp.
Lineage: Eukaryota; Fungi; Ascomycota; Pichiomycetes; Serinales; Debaryomycetaceae
Description: eukaryotic LSU rRNA
Rfam family: Eukaryotic large subunit ribosomal RNA
Source: RNAcentral